RNAcentral lists this ribosomal RNA (273 nucleotides) under uncultured Spirotrichea. RNAcentral's name for it is "partial small subunit ribosomal RNA". It matches the Rfam family "Eukaryotic small subunit ribosomal RNA", at positions 195 to 469 of the family's 1831-position model. Lineage: Eukaryota; Ciliophora; Spirotrichea. The record is from RNAcentral.
CGAGGGCCGUAUUUAUUAGAUAUCAGCCAAUAAGCUUCUGCUAUUGUGGUGACUCAUAGUAACUUAAUCGGAUCGCAUGGGCUUGCCCCGCGACAAACCAUUCAAGUUUCUGCCCCAUCAUGCUUUCGAUGGUAGUGUAUUGGACUACCAUGGCUUUCACGGGUAACGGAGGAUUAGGGUUCGAUUCCGGAGAGGGAGCCUGAGAAACGGCUACCACUUCCACGGAAGGCAGCAGGCGCGUAAAUUACCCAAUCCUGAUUCAGGGAGGUAGUG